GAUGAACGCUGGCGGCGUGCCUAAUACAUGCAAGUCGAACGGACAGGCGAUGAUCUUGCGGGGUGCUCGAGAGGCGAAGGGGUGAGAGAAACGCGAGUAAAAUCCACUUGUCAUUGGGAUAACAUCAGGGAAAUGGGGCUAAUAUCGGAUAUGAGAUACUGCAGCAUGGUGGGGGAUGGAAAGAUUCGGCGGUUUGGGAUGGACUCGCGGCUUAUCAGCUUGUUGGUGGGGUAGUCGCUUUCCAAGGCUAAGACGGGUAGCCGGCCUGGGAGGGUUGCCGGCCACAAUACUACUGAGAUACGCCCCAGUCUCCUACGGGAGGCAGCAGGGGAGAAUAUUACACAGUGAGCGGAAGCCAGAUGUAGCGGCGCCGCGUGCGUGAUGAUCUCUUACUAGUGGUAAACCGCUUUCUCCGGAGACGAAGCGGGAUUGACGGUAAUGGGUAAAGAAGCACCGGCUAACUACGUG
This 468-nucleotide ribosomal RNA is filed under the name uncultured bacterium. Its description in RNAcentral is "partial 16S ribosomal RNA". It matches the Rfam family "Bacterial small subunit ribosomal RNA", at positions 28 to 507 of the family's 1533-position model. The record is from RNAcentral.